This is a long non-coding RNA of Oxyura jamaicensis (ruddy duck), 1129 nucleotides long. RefSeq lists it as uncharacterized. The transcript is spliced from 2 exons. Lineage: Eukaryota; Metazoa; Chordata; Aves; Anseriformes; Anatidae. The record is from RefSeq and is a predicted model, not a curated record.
GCAGCCCCAGGAGCAGCGCCGGCAGCAGCGCCGCGGGGAGAGGCAUCCCGGCGAGGGGCGCGCAACCACGGGCCGCCGGCCGGUCGUCGCUCCGAAGAGGCGCUCGCCCCCCCAGCUCCCACUUUAUGCUGAGAUGAUGGCACAUAUAUUUUUGCUGAUACAUUUCUUGGUACUCUGCCAAACAAAAUUGGUGAAAGGAAACAUAAUAGAAAAUGAGUUUUGAGAAUCAGGGUAAGUGUUUGUUAAGCUUAUUUUUAUUAUUAUUGUUGUGGGAAAUAGUAGCUUAAGUUAACUUUUUGUGUGAGAAGGUUUUAGCUGACUUUGAGUGUAGCAGAACUGGUAUACAUGAAUCUGUUCAACAUGUGGCCUCUUUGUAUGAAUCAUUUUCUACCGGUGGCUAACGUGAAGAAAACUGGCUGUUGUAAGCAAAUGACGUGUAUUGCUGAAUUUUAAAACUUCCCAGCAAAGCACCACUUAAAAUCUGUCAGAACAUAUAUGGACAUAGCUGUACAAUCCAUAACCUCUCUGAGCAUGUAGAAGAGUAACUUUUCCAGUUGACCUUUAGUGUCAUAACUGUGAAACAAACGGAUGUCUCUUUUCCUUAUUUACUCUUGGACUUUUCACAGUGCUCAUCACUGCAAGGUCUGAUUCCUCUCUGGAGUUAGCGGCCAUAUCCUCAGAAUACCUCCAUGAGCUGGAUGUUACUGUCAUCUUUCCCAGUCUGUUGCUCUCUGUGGCACCAGAUCAGAUGCCUUCACAUAUGCCUGGAGUGGCAGAGGGGGAACUGAGAUCAGAGAGAUUGUGGAAGAUCUGUGUGGUCUGACUGGGCUGAUGAACUGCUGUGGUAGAGGUUCUCAAAGCCAGGUCUAAGCAAGUGGCUUUCCCCAUGUGGCACACUGUGUAGAGAACCCAUGACAUUAACUUGUACCUAGAGGACAGUACAGAUGCACAGGUCCGGCAGGACCACACCACUUGCCUGCAGCAGGAGAUGCACCUGGGGUCCUUUUAUUUUGGAUGAGCACUGCACUGUGCUCCCGUAUGUGCUGCGUGAGGAAGGGGCUGAAGCACAGAUGUCCUGAAACCUUUGUAAAUACUCUUCCUUCCUAAUAAACACCACUGGUAUUGGCAA